UUGAUCGGCACCAGAGACAGCUUGCUGCACUGGUUGUUUCCAAGGUUUUCUGUUACUUGGGUGAUUUAAAUGAUUCCUUAUCAUAUGCCCUUGGAGCUGGUUCUCUUUUUGAUGUCUCUGAGGAUUCUGAUUAUGUUCAUUCUCUUCUUGCUAAGGCGAUAGAUGAGUAUGCUAGUCUGAAGGCAAAGGCAACUGAAUCAAAUGCUGAGGCAGCAAAUGUGGACCCUAGGCUAGAGGCAAUUGUGGAGAGAAUGCUGGACAA
Molecule: unclassified non-coding RNA, 262 nt
Filed under: Hevea brasiliensis (rubber tree)
Lineage: Eukaryota; Viridiplantae; Streptophyta; Magnoliopsida; Malpighiales; Euphorbiaceae
Source: RNAcentral